GCGAGCGAAAAGAAAAUAGUUCAGCACUAAGUCACUUUGCCUUUAUGACAAAUGUGAGAUGCAGUGUAUGGAACUUCUAUAAUCUAGUAUGAUAAAUUAAUGAUUUAAGUCCUUCUUAAAAGAGGCCAUUUACCCAUAGAGGGUGCCAGGCCCGUAUAACAUUAAUGAUUACUAGAAGAUGCUUCCAAAGAGUCGUGUUGCUUGAUAGUGCAACACUAAGUGGGUGGUAAACUCCAUCUAAAACUAAAUAUGACCAUGAGACCGAUAGUAAACAAGUACCGUGAGGGAAAGUUGAAAAGAACUCUGAAUAGAGAGUUAAAUAGUACGUGAAACUGCUUAGAGGUUAAGCCCGAUGAACCUGAAUAUCCAUUAUGGAAAAUACAAUAUUAUGACUAUAAUAUUAAUAAAAUAUUUGUAGAAAUGGUAUGCAUUUUUUCCAUAUAAGGACAUUGUAAUCUAUUAAUUUUGUUUUAUAUAUUUAUCAGAAAAUCAUUAGCUUUAAUGUUUAUUUAAAUUAAAUUGCUUGCAUUUUAACAUAAAAUAAAUGCUUUUGAUUUGAUAAAGUAUUAAUAGAUUUAUUUGAAUAUAGUGCUUAAAUUUAUUAUAAUUUUGUAAUAUUUGUAAUUAUCAUUUGAUAAUUAUAUUUAUUUACAUGCACUAAUAUGAUUAACAAUGCGAUAGAUUCAGGAUACCUUCGGGACCCGUCUUGAAACACGGACCAAGGAGUCUAACAUAUGUGCAAGUCAUUGGGAUUAUAUAUGUAAACCCAAUGGCAUAAUUAACAUAAAUGUUUAUAAUGGGAUUAAUUUAUAAAAUAUAUUUAUAUAGAUUAUAUAUUCAAUCCCGGGGCGUUCUAUAUAGUUAUGUGUAAUAAUAUUUAUAUUAUUUAUACCUCUAACUGGAGCGUACCUUGAGCAUUUAUGCUGUGACCCGAAAGAUGGUGAACUAUACUUGAUCAGGUUGAAGUCAGGGGAAACCCUGAUGGAAGACCGAAACAGUUCUGACGUGCAAAUCGAUUGUCAGAAUUGAGUAUAGGGGCGAAAGACUAAUCGAAUCAU
This 1058-nucleotide ribosomal RNA is filed under the name Dalmannia vitiosa. Its description in RNAcentral is "eukaryotic LSU rRNA". It matches the Rfam family "Eukaryotic large subunit ribosomal RNA", at positions 89 to 943 of the family's 3401-position model. Lineage: Eukaryota; Metazoa; Arthropoda; Insecta; Diptera; Conopidae. The record is from RNAcentral.